CACACACACACACACACAACUUCCCCUAUCCCCCAUGAUUUAUCAUGAGUGUACAGUAGUUCACCACAGAGUAGUAUCAUAGCAGCUGUGUAUUUUACAUGAUGAUUUCUACCCUGGGUAAUGACUGCAGUGAUACCAACAGAAGUGUGCCAUUAUGCCCCCUGGUGUUCAAACACUAAUUUGCAGAUGUUGACAAGUGCUGUCUUAUUUCCUCAGCUCCUGGUCCAUCACCAGGUAUUGUCUUGGCAACUGUAGGAACUGGUGCACAGGUAAGGUGUUCAUUCAGCCAGGGUAGCCAAUGUGACAGUACAUUUAAAUAAAAUAGUUUAUUAUUAUUUUUUUUUUUCUGAAAUAUCUUUAUAUCUUUCCCAUCACUUCUUUCUUCACUACUGUGGACUGUGUUUCCUGGCAAUGGAUGUAUAAAUCACUUCCUCAGUUAUACCCUCUCAGGAUGUUUCAGAUGACAUAUUUACUAGUAUCACUAAAUUCCUCACCUGUCAUGGCAGCUGUGUACAAGGGACUAAACAGCAGCUUGAUGCUCAUAUGUGCAGAUACAAUCUGUGCUGUACCUGUAGUGCAACUCACUCAAGUCCUUUAAUAUCAUUUAUUUGAUUGUUUGUGUGUGUUUGUGUUUUCUUUGUUUGUUUGCGUGUUUGUUUAUUUUUAGGCAGCAUCCGAUUAUGGAAAUUGUCCAGGAGAAGGGUUUGGUGAUGUAACUCAGACAAGCAUCCAGACAGGCCCAGUCUACCAAUCCCUGAACCCCAACACCAUCCAACAAGAACCAGUCUACCAAUCCCUGAACCCGAACACCAUCCAUCAAGACCCAGUCUACCAAUCCCUGAACCCCAACACCAUCCUACAAGACCCAGUCUACCAAUCAUUGAACCCCAAUACCAUCCAACAAGACCCAGUCUAUCAAACCCUGAACCCCAAUAUCGUUCAACAAGACUCACAAUAAGGAAGAAAGGACAGAGUUUGGUUCAGGUGGUGUUUGGAAAGCACUGAGCAAGGCUCCAUUGACAGAGAGGCUCAGAUUAAAAUCACACAAAACUAGGGACAGAACAGGUCUACUCAUGUCAUGUGCC
This is a long non-coding RNA of Clupea harengus (Atlantic herring), 1085 nucleotides long. Lineage: Eukaryota; Metazoa; Chordata; Actinopteri; Clupeiformes; Clupeidae. The record is from Ensembl.